CAACUUGGGCCGCGCCAGAAAUCUCGCCCCAGUCAACCCACAUGCAUCACAAAAUCCACGCGAAUUCCUCGCCAAAUCUUCGCUCCUCCCAGUCUCCCACGCACUCAAUCGCCGCCGCCGCUCGCUCCGCAUCAAAGAGAUACCAUCCUCCAUCCUCUCCAGCAUCACCGUCCUAUCCCCUCCGCCGUCACCUUCCGUCCCCCCCCCCCACUCCUACCGACCAUGUCCUCGAUUUCGGCCGCCUCUUCUCACCGGGAGGCCAUGGAUUCAGUCGGCCAGUAUAUCCAUGCGCCUGAUUCGAAGGCCAGGGCGUCGAUGUCAAGCUGUAUGCCUGUAUGAAGACGUUCAGGGGUGUGCCAUGGCCGACAAGGGCUGCAUGAAGCCCCUCCAGAAGGAGUAGCACGCGCUCGGCAAGGAGCUGCUGCCCCCGAUGACGUUCCCGAGUUCUACAGCCGGCUACGUCUUGGAGCUGAUGCAGCUAGCUGGUCGCGUCUCUGACCUGCUGCUGUCCGCAAGGAAGCCAUCACAGAGAGGUGACGAUUGGGAUAAGACGCAACUUGUUGUGUAUUCAUUGCUGCAAACUGAAAUCAACAACAUCAUAUCCAGCAACCUGAUUUGUGUCUCUGAUAUGCAAGGGAGUAGAAAAGUCAAUAGAGAUAUUGAUUUUUUUGGUACAUGUGUUGGCUGUCAUAGAGUUACUCAUUACUGUUCGUGCGUUCAGUGAAUUUUAUAGGAAAAUGAUGGGCUGUUGGUGUGGCUGAAACAGAAAUUCGUCACACUCUAUAAGCUGGUUGUCUGAUAGUGUUGGUCUUACUAGCAUUACUGUAAUGGUGUCGUAUGUUGUAGGGUAAUUUGAGUGUGCUACGAUUUAGGGAUGCAAAUACCACUUAAGCAUUGAGUCUUUGAGUAGUUGCGACACUCCAGUGUUACGUCAUCUAUUUAGUGUUAUGUGGUAUCGUGGUUUUUUUUCUAUCAGGAUUACGUUUUAUCAAGAAAUUGCAUCCAACGGUAGAUGGUAUGAAGACAUUUGGGAGCACAAACAGAGGUAUGGUAUGAACAUAAAACCUGUCCUACCUACAGUUCUCUAAUUGUUAAUUGGCCGUGUGUGAUUCUAUAAAUCUCAUGUGAGGUUCAUGAGAUCUGAUGUGGUUUGGGAUGUGAUCUGAUAGACUUGCAUGACCUCUUUAGUGCAGAACUGCAGAUGAGGGAAGUUGUGAGGUAAAAGAUCGGUGUGGGUUGACCAGUUAUUCAGAUUGGAGAACAUAUAGUUAGGUCAGACCUCUUUUACCAGAUUAUCAGUGACAUGGAGGUUGUGGUCGAAUAAAUGUACUUAUAGGUUCCAAAGACCUUGUACUAUUUGAUAUGGCACCACUGGAGUAGCAGCGCAUGUACCACAUCCUCAGCUUACUUUUAUAUUAAAUAAAGUAAAAAAAAUAUUAUCGUGUCUAUGUUCAAAAGAAGGAUGUGAGAGGAAAGUGGGAAGGUGAGGACAGCUCCUCGGGCUGAGGGAGAGCAUAAUACCCGGUGGAUUAUGAGCGCUUCCUCCCCUUCCUCGUAUCAGUGCAACGAGAUGUGCUAUGUUCUACUCUGCCUCUGAAUAAUCUGGCGUCGCUGCACUAGCUGAUUGAUUCUUUCGGAUUUCAGGUUUGGCCGCAACUGAAAGAAGAUCGACGAGCAUCAAAUCGUGGAUUUUUUUUGCCCACAACACCCAAACGACAUGGUAAAAACACUCUAACUAGAAUUCCAGCUUUGGUCAUAAUCUAAUCCCUUCCCUCAUUCUUGGCUUCUUGUGUUGCUAAGCAUUAACCUUCAGCAUUUGUUGUGCAUGUACACAGCCUCCGAAUUCACUCUGUACAUAAAGAAUGGGACUACGGGUGUUGACUUGCUGAUUAUGUUUAAUUGCCAGUAACUCCGGAAUAGAAGUAGGAUAGGCCGGUUGCUUGAACUUGGCUCGCGCACCUACACUGUGUUCUUUGCCAAAAUAAGGUUCUGGUUGCAUUAAGGUGUGUAGUGGAACCAUUUCUACAUGCACUUAUUGUUAUGAUGCAUUGAAUAAAUAGAUGCUUUUUUAAGUUUUGUAGCCUGUGAUUAUAGUUUUUUCUUUUCGUUUGUAAAUAUUGUAUAGUGGAUGAAAUUUUAUAUGUAACUAUUUUGGAGAAAGGCUUUUCUUAUAUCAUGGUUAAGUCCAGUGAUGCGAUUUGCAUUCAAUAGUACUGCAUUUAUUUUUUUCUCCAUGUUUCAAUUGUUGCAUCAAUUACGAAUUUACAAGUACUGCUUUUCUGAUUAUUUUUCUUAGGAUGUUUCCGUUCUAUCUAAUUUAAAUUAUCCAUAGUAGUAGCUGAGAUAUGCACAUGAAAUUUAACGCAGACAAAUUAUUUGUAUCAUGCGCUACUCCGAUAUAAUAUCUGGCAGCGAAGUCUUCAACACUUGACAAGUUUGGCUUGUUAGCUCAAGACAAAGAUUCUGGAUAGAGCAGGCAUUGCCCGUUUUCCACUCCAGAUUUGUCUGGCUUCAAGUUUGUCUUCCAGCAUGUAGGAUGGUAGGUGGAGGUCAUUGAAAGAACAAAGGGAUGAUCGUUGUGCUUAUUCAGGCUUUGACCUUGGAGAAUCCAAGACCACCCCAGCCAGUCAGUCGUCAAAGACUGUUUGGAACAUUCCACCCGAUAAUCAUGUUGCAGAUACAUCUGAAAAGGCAUUCUAACUUCUUCUUAUGUUGUGCCAGCUAGGUUUCAUUUUGUUUCAGCUUCAGAAUGCUCAUAUUAGUAUUCAGCUUCUUGAAACAAGCAAAUAUUAUCCUAGACUAAAUAGGAAUUCUGAAUAGAAUAUCUGAUAUUUGUGGUCAUUUAAGAAGACAUACAUGUCAUGCUAGAAAGCAGUCCGUUGAUUUACCUUUCGCUUUUGUUUCCCUUUUCUUCAUCGUUCUUCUGUUCUUAUGGCUGACCGUGCUUCUUUACUUUGCAAGUUGGGUCGUGGGAGUUAGGAAGACAUGAAGAUGAACCGUGAAGGGCAAGUAGAAUCUGAUAUUGUUAUAUUGUAAUGUAUAGGGAUGGAUGCUGUUAUUUGACAACGAUAUUGUGGUCAUUUAAGAAGACAUACAUGUCAUGCGAGAAAGCAGUCCAUUGAUUUACCUUUACCUUUCACUUUUGUUUCCCUUUUCUUCAUCGUUCUUCUGUUCUUAUGGCUGACCGUGCUUCUUUAUUUUGCAAGUUGGGUCAUGGGAGUUAGGAAGGCAUGAAGAUGAACCGUGAAGGGCAAGAAGAAUUAUGGAGGUGAGUUGUGACUUGUGAGUUGUCUCUGAAUCAGAAUUUCUUGAUAAUUAUUCCGGUUCUUUUAGAGUUCCAAUUGAAGGCCUAAUUGGAGUUUAAUGUAUGAUGGAUCCAAGACAACAGAGUGGAAUAUACCUUUCUUCCUAUUCGAUUUAUGAGCUUACAUCCAGACAAAUUGUCUUCAAAGACUAGAAAUUUCGAGGCGUCUUUUGUUGUGUGUUCGUCGUAGAAAUCAGAAUUCAGUGCAUUUUGUAGCUACCAGCUCUUACAGUGUCACACGUUCCGCUACAACUAGCCCUUUCUGUUAUGUUUAAAACUAAUACUACCAGCAUUGCCUUGCAAUGGUUUCUUGAGCAUGUCUACAUGGCGGUCCAGCAACUUUUUUUGCAGCAUUAUACAAACAAGUUCGUUUUUAAGAACCCCGGUAGACGACCUGAGAAGAGUUGAAGCCGUUUAUCAUAGUUUGGAAUAUUUUCACCGUCAGCAGCCACAAGAGAUAUCAAGGGAUUGAGCACAUGCAGUGAUGUCACUCGGCACUAAAAAACUCCAGCUUUUGGAUGAUUGUCGUUUUGUGAGGCGAAAGACCCACAUCUUAGCAUUAGUUGUUGUUCUAUAAAUUUGGCACGUAAAGAUGACAUGAUUUUCUUCUACUUUAAUUAUCUUGAGAUAAACUAGCUGCAUUUUACAUGAACCGGGUAA
This is a long non-coding RNA of Lolium rigidum, 3964 nucleotides long. RefSeq lists it as uncharacterized. NCBI's taxonomy places the organism in Eukaryota, Viridiplantae, Streptophyta, Magnoliopsida, Poales, Poaceae. The record is from RefSeq and is a predicted model, not a curated record. The transcript is spliced from 4 exons.